Molecule: ribosomal RNA, 253 nt
Filed under: uncultured bacterium
Lineage: Bacteria
Description: partial 16S ribosomal RNA
Rfam family: Bacterial small subunit ribosomal RNA
Source: RNAcentral
UACGUAGGGUGCAAGCGUUAAUCGGAAUUACUGGGCGUAAAGCGUGCGCAGGCGGUGAUGUAAGACAGUUGUGAAAUCCCCGGGCUCAACCUGGGAACUGCAUCUGUGACUGCAUCGCUGGAGUGCGGCAGAGGGGGAUGGAAUUCCGCGUGUAGCAGUGAAAUGCGUAGAUAUGCGGAGGAACACCGAUGGCGAAGGCAGCCCCCUGGGCCAAUACUGACGCUCAUGCACGAAAGCGUGGGGAGCAAACAGG